This 489-nucleotide ribosomal RNA is filed under the name uncultured bacterium. RNAcentral describes it as "bacterial SSU rRNA". It matches the Rfam family "Bacterial small subunit ribosomal RNA", at positions 903 to 1397 of the family's 1533-position model. The record is from RNAcentral.
AAAUGAAUAGACGGGGGCCCGCACAAGCAGUGGAGUAUGUGGUUUAAUUCGAAGCAACGCGAAGAACCUUACCAGGGCUUGACAUGGGUACCUAAGACCGCAGAGAUGCGGGGAUAUAUGGUAUUCACAGGUGGUGCAUGGUUGUCGUCAGCUCGUGUCGUGAGAUGUUGGGUUAAGUCCCGCAACGAGCGCAACCCUUAUCAACAGUUGCUACAAUUUAGUUUGAGAACUCUGUUGAGACUGCCGUCGACAAGACGGAGGAAGGCGGGGAUGAGGUCAAAUCAUCAUGCCCCUUACGCCCUGGGCUACACACGUACUACAAUGGCGGAUAACAGAGCGGAGCGAAGCGGCGACGUGGAGCAAAACGCUAAAAACCGUCUCGGUUCGGAUUGCAGGCUGAAACUCGCCUGUAUGAAGUCGGAAUUGCUAGUAAUCGCGAAUCAGCAUGUCGCGGUGAAUACGUUCCCGGGCCUUGUACACACCGCCCGU